Molecule: ribosomal RNA, 406 nt
Filed under: uncultured bacterium
Lineage: Bacteria
Description: partial 16S ribosomal RNA
Rfam family: Bacterial small subunit ribosomal RNA
Source: RNAcentral
AUUGAACGCUGGCGGCAGGCCUAACACAUGCAAGUCGAACAAGUGGCGGACGGGUGAGUAAUGUCUGGGAAACUGCCCGAUGGCGGGGGAUAACUACUGGAAACGGUAGCUAAUACCGCAUACCAUCGGAUGUGCCCAGAUGGGAUUAGCUAGUAGGGGGGGUAACGGCUCACCUAGGCGACGAUCCCUAGCUGGUCUGAGAGGAUGACCAGCCACCCUGGAACUGAGACACGGUCCAGAGGCCUACGGGAGGCAGCAGUGGGGAAUAUGGCACAAUGGGCGCAGGCCUGAUGCAGCCAUGCAGCGUGUAUGAGGAAGGCCUUCGGGUUGUAGAGUACUUUCAGCGAGGGGGCGUUACUCGCGGAAGAAGCAUCGGCUAACUCCGUGCCAGCCGCCGCGGUAAUAC